Molecule: small nucleolar RNA, 87 nt
Organism: Lathyrus oleraceus (garden pea)
Lineage: Eukaryota; Viridiplantae; Streptophyta; Magnoliopsida; Fabales; Fabaceae
Product: small nucleolar RNA R11/Z151
Exons: 1
Source: RefSeq, a predicted model, not a curated record
AGGCUUAUGGUGAUAUUAUAUGUUAAUCUUAGCGGAUUUCGGUGAGAUUUUUAAUCGAGAAUCUUAUUGUUACACACAUUGAGGCCU